GCCUCGUUAUAUCAGUCGGUAGAUAGUGUGACUCUUAAUCACACAGUCAUGGGUUCGAGCGCCAUACGAGGCU
This 73-nucleotide transfer RNA is filed under the name Trichosporon asahii var. asahii CBS 8904. Its description in RNAcentral is "tRNA-Lys (CTT) (tRNA-Lys-CTT-2-1)". It matches the Rfam family "tRNA". From Rfam's summary of the family: Transfer RNA (tRNA) molecules are approximately 80 nucleotides in length. Their secondary structure includes four short double-helical elements and three loops (D, anti-codon, and T loops). Lineage: Eukaryota; Fungi; Basidiomycota; Tremellomycetes; Trichosporonales; Trichosporonaceae. The record is from RNAcentral.